This 301-nucleotide ribosomal RNA is filed under the name uncultured bacterium. RNAcentral describes it as "partial 16S ribosomal RNA". It matches the Rfam family "Bacterial small subunit ribosomal RNA", at positions 509 to 807 of the family's 1533-position model. The record is from RNAcentral.
CAGUAGCCACGGUAAUACGAAGGGGGCUAGCGUUGUUCGGAAUUACUGGGCGUAAAGCGCACGUAGGCGGAUAUUUAAGUCAGGGGUGAAAUCCCAGAGCUCAACUCUGGAACUGCCUAUGAUACUGGGUAUCUUGAGUAUGGAAGAGGUGAGUGGAAUUCCGAGUGUAGAGGUGGAAUUCGUAGAUAUUCGGAGGAACACCAGUGGCGAAGGCGGCUCACUGGUCCAUUACUGACGCUGAGGUGCGAAAGCGUGGGGAGCAAACAGGAUUAGAUACCCCAGUAGUCCCUGUCUCUUAUAC